AGUGAACGCUGGCGGUAGGCCUAACACAUGCAAGUCGAACGGCAGCACAGUAAGAGCUUGCUCUUACGGGUGGCGAGUGGCGGACGGGUGAGGAAUACAUCGGAAUCUACUUUUUCGUGGGGGAUAACGUAGGGAAACUUACGCUAAUACCGCAUACGACCUACGGGUGAAAGCAGGGGAUCUUCGGACCUUGCGCGAUUGAAUGAGCCGAUGUCGGAUUAGCUAGUUGGCGGGGUAAAGGCCCACCAAGGCGACGAUCGGUAGCUGGUGUGAGAGGAUGAUCAGCCACACUGGAGCUGAGACACGGUCCAGACUCCUACGGGAGGCAGCAGUGGGGAAUAUUGGACAAUGGGCGCAAGCCUGAUCCAGCCGUACCGCGUGGGUGAAGGAGGCCUUCGGGUUGUAAAGCCCUUUUGUUGGGAAAGAAAAGCAGCAGGUUAAGACCCCGCUGUUCUGACGGUACCCAAAGAAUAAGCACCGGCUAACUUCGUG
This 492-nucleotide ribosomal RNA is filed under the name uncultured bacterium. RNAcentral describes it as "partial 16S ribosomal RNA". It matches the Rfam family "Bacterial small subunit ribosomal RNA", at positions 29 to 507 of the family's 1533-position model. The record is from RNAcentral.